GCACAGGGGGCCCCUGACGCCGCGCUGGGCGUCCCGAGUGCUGGGCGUCAGAUCUGCUCCUUCACCCUCCUCCGGCGGCAGCGCUCCUCCCCACCCCGUCCCCAGCAAUCGCCCACCGACCUGUGUCCCUUUCUCCGCCGAGACGCCUUGGGAUCGGCUCCCUCCUUCCCCUCACGGACCCUCCCCCAGGUCUGGCCUCCGCUGCUCCCACCUCCUGAGGUUUUUCUCACGUUUUGAUUUUAGGGCAGGCCUCCCAGCAUGAAAGCCUGACCUAAAAUCAAGGCUGAUGAUAGUUCCUGCUCCCAAACAAUCCUUCCCGUCAGCCAGACCUGAGCCUCCUGAGAGCCCUCGCGACGCCCGCGGGGGAUGUGGGCGAGAAAGCGCCUCACGCUCCUCCCGCGCAAAACGCCGGAGAGGCCGGAAAACGCAGCCGUCGAGGGGCUGUUUAGGGAAGGCCGCCUGCCACAGAAGCAAGUUCUGCAUGACUCCAGCAGAAAGGGGAUUUCCUGGAAGGACAUCGAGCACCUCACAAAGUCGAGAGGAAGGUGGAGAACCAGGCUCAGGCAGGAACCAAGGCCCAAGGACAGCCCAGGGCCUCCCGGGAAACGACCUACCUGGUGCAGAGCUCUGCAACACACACUCGCCAUCGUGCCCCGGGGUACUCCAUGACUCCACUGCCCCAUGAAGCCCUCGGGAGGGCAACCCCCAGGCUGUGUGCCUGCUGACCCAGGGUGGCAGCAUGUCAGGCUGUAUCUUUGAUUUCAGGGACCAGAGGCCAGGGCAUCUGUGUGGCCACUGAAGGAAGAGGAGAAGCCUCAGGCUGAGUGCCCCUCACCCCACUCUGAGCUUAGGCUCAGAGAGGAACCCUUCCUUCCCUCCUCUUUUUCUUCCCUCCUCUUCUCCCUCUCUCCUUCCCUUCUCCAAAAUUAAAUACUUUUCUCUAAUCAUAUUAAUCAUAUAUAGUUAUUGGCCGG
This 974-nucleotide long non-coding RNA is filed under the name Pan troglodytes (chimpanzee). RNAcentral describes it as "long non-coding RNA NONPTRT014396". Lineage: Eukaryota; Metazoa; Chordata; Mammalia; Primates; Hominidae. The record is from RNAcentral.